GACGAACGCUGGCGGCGUGCCUAAUACAUGCAAGUCGAGCGGACUUUCAAGAAGCUUGCUUUUUGAAAGUUAGCGGCGGACGGGUGAGUAACACGUGGGCAACCUGCCUGCAAGACGGGGAUAACUCCGGGAAACCGGGGCUAAUACCGGAUAAUAUCUUCCUUCGCAUGAAGGAAGGUUGAAAGGCGACGCAAGCUGCCGCUUGCAGAUGGGCCCGCGGCGCAUUAGCUAGUUGGUGAGGUAACGGCUCACCAAGGCGACGAUGCGUAGCCGACCUGAGAGGGUGAUCGGCCACACUGGGACUGAGACACGGCCCAGACUCCUACGGGAGGCAGCAGUAGGGAAUCUUCCGCAAUGGACGAAAGUCUGACGGAGCAACGCCGCGUGAGCGAAGAAGGUCUUCGGAUCGUAAAGCUCUGUUGUCAGGGAAGAACAAGUACCGUUCGAACAGGGCGGUACCUUGACGGUACCUGACCAGAAAGCCACGGCUAACUACGUG
Molecule: ribosomal RNA, 499 nt
Filed under: uncultured bacterium
Lineage: Bacteria
Description: partial 16S ribosomal RNA
Rfam family: Bacterial small subunit ribosomal RNA
Source: RNAcentral